RNAcentral lists this ribosomal RNA (546 nucleotides) under Salmonella enterica subsp. enterica serovar Enteritidis. RNAcentral's name for it is "partial 23S ribosomal RNA". It matches the Rfam family "Bacterial large subunit ribosomal RNA", at positions 124 to 714 of the family's 2925-position model. The record is from RNAcentral. Lineage: Bacteria; Pseudomonadati; Pseudomonadota; Gammaproteobacteria; Enterobacterales; Enterobacteriaceae.
AAACCCAGUGUGAUUCGUCACACUAUCAUUAACUGAAUCCAUAGGUUAAUGAGGCGAACCGGGGGAACUGAAACAUCUAAGUACCCCGAGGAAAAGAAAUCAACCGAGAUUCCCCCAGUAGCGGCGAGCGAACGGGGAGGAGCCCAGAGCCUGAAUCAGCAUGUGUGUUAGUGGAAGCGUCUGGAAAGGCGCGCGAUACAGGGUGACAGCCCCGUACACAAAAGCGCAUGUGCUGUGAGCUCGAUGAGUAGGGCGGGACACGUGGUAUCCUGUCUGAAUAUGGGGGGACCAUCCUCCAAGGCUAAAUACUCCUGACUGACCGAUAGUGAACCAGUACCGUGAGGGAAAGGCGAAAAGAACCCCGGCGAGGGGAGUGAAAAAGAACCUGAAACCGUGUACGUACAAGCAGUGGGAGCACCCUUUGGGUGUGACUGCGUACCUUUUGUAUAAUGGGUCAGCGACUUAUAUUCUGUAGCAAGGUUAACCGAAUAGGGGAGCCGGAGGGAAACCGAGUCUUAAUUGGGCGUUAAGUUGCAGGGUAUAGAC